RNAcentral lists this long non-coding RNA (373 nucleotides) under Brassica napus (rape). Its description in RNAcentral is "long non-coding RNA (BNAP_LNC015488)". Lineage: Eukaryota; Viridiplantae; Streptophyta; Magnoliopsida; Brassicales; Brassicaceae. The record is from RNAcentral.
UGAGUUAAGCCACAGUGUGCCUCACUUCUAAUGUAACCUAUUCUGAUACACAGUUCUUGACGCAGCCUCUCACACUUUGUUCCCUAGUGGCCACCGUGAGCAAAGCAUCAGCUUUGAAUGGAAGCUUUACACCAUCAUCGGUUUUAUGGAAAAACUCUGCCGAUUGAAUCAUAGCUCCAGAUCUACCCUUACGAUACUUCACCGGCUUUUUCUCUGCGACUCCUCCUACACAACACAUCAGAUACGCUAACCCAUCAUGGCAUCGACGAGCAUCUACAGCUCGAUGUGGACUCGCCAGACUAAUGUGCAAGAGUGUGGAUCGCCAGAUUUUCUUGCUACUACUUCAUUGCUACGUCUCUAUCACACUACGCCG